GAGAGCAAGCUGCAGAGGGAGGUUUUUCAUGGCUUUUUAACAGAGAUUUUGAGGCAUUUGAAGCUGAACAGAACCUUACCAGAGAAGGGCACUCUCAGGUAUGAAUGCAGCAGGUAUAUUGUUUGAUUUUGGAUCCUUGCUAUCCUUUUGCAUUUCUUGUUGAUAUCUGGAUAUUCAUUGAUUUGCUUGGGGUGGAUAUUGGAGGCCACCGGUUUGUUUGUUGAGAGAUAAUCCUGCCUUUAUGUUUGUCAUUAUUGAUUUUAACUUGCUUUGCCUCCAUUUGUGAUGAUGAGAUGCUCAAGAUUCAUGUCUGUGUCUACA
RNAcentral lists this long non-coding RNA (321 nucleotides) under Vitis vinifera (wine grape). RNAcentral's name for it is "long non-coding RNA (VVIN_LNC001858)". Lineage: Eukaryota; Viridiplantae; Streptophyta; Magnoliopsida; Vitales; Vitaceae. The record is from RNAcentral.